RNAcentral lists this ribosomal RNA (1373 nucleotides) under uncultured bacterium. RNAcentral describes it as "bacterial SSU rRNA". It matches the Rfam family "Bacterial small subunit ribosomal RNA". The record is from RNAcentral.
AGAGUUUGAUCCUGGCUCAGGACGAACGCUGGCGGCGCGCCUAACACAUGCAAGUCGAACGGAGCUUAGAGAGCUUGCUUUUUAAGCUUAGUGGCGAACGGGUGAGUAACGCGUGAGUAACCUGCCCUAGAGUGGGGGACAACAGUUGGAAACGACUGCUAAUACCGCAUAAGCCCACGGUACCGCAUGGUACUGAGGGAAAAGGAUUUAUUCGCUUUAGGAUGGACUCGCGUCCAAUUAGCUAGUUGGUGAGGUAACGGCCCACCAAGGCGACGAUUGGUAGCCGGACUGAGAGGUUGAACGGCCACAUUGGGACUGAGACACGGCCCAGACUCCUACGGGAGGCAGCAGUGGGGGAUAUUGCACAAUGGGGGAAACCCUGAUGCAGCGACGCCGCGUGGAGGAAGAAGGUUUUCGGAUUGUAAACUCCUGUCGUUAGGGACGAUAAUGACGGUACCUAACAAGAAAGCACCGGCUAACUACGUGCCAGCAGCCGCGGUAAAACGUAGGGUGCAAGCGUUGUCCGGAAUUACUGGGUGUAAAGGGAGCGCAGGCGGGAAGACAAGUUGGAAGUGAAAACCAUGGGCUCAACCCAUGAAUUGCUUUCAAAACUGUUUUUCUUGAGUAGUGCAGAGGUAGAUGGAAUUCCCGGUGUAGCGGUGGAAUGCGUAGAUAUCGGGAGGAACACCAGUGGCGAAGGCGGUCUACUGGGCACCAACUGACGCUCAGGCUCGAAAGCAUGGGUAGCAAACCAGAAUUAGAUACCCUGGUAGUCCAUGCCGUAAACGAUGAUUACUAGGUGUUGGGGGAUUGACCCCCUCAGUGCCGCAGUUAACACAAUAAGUAAUCCACCUGGGGAGUACGACCGCAAGGUUGAAACUCAAAGGAAUUGACGGGGGCCCGCACAAGCAGUGGAGUAUGUGGUUUAAUUCGAAGCAACGCGAAGAACCUUACCAGGUCUUGACAUCCGAUGCAUAGCACAGAGAUGUGUGAAAUCCUUCGGGACAUCGAGACAGGUGGUGCAUGGUUGUCGUCAGCUCGUGUCGUGAGAUGUUGGGUUAAGUCCCGCAACGAGCGCAACCCUUAUUGCCAGUUACUACGUUAAGAGGACUCUGGCGAGACUGCCGUUGACAAAACGGAGGAAGGUGGGGAUGACGUCAAAUCAUCAUGCCCUUUAUGACCUGGGCUACACACGUACUACAAUGGCGUUAAACAAAGAGAAGCAAGACCGCGAGGUGGAGCAAAACUCAAAAACAACGUCUCAGUUCAGAUUGCAGGCUGCAACUCGCCUGCAUGAAGUCGGAAUUGCUAGUAAUCGCGGAUCAGCAUGCCGCGGUGAAUACGUUCCCGGGCCUUGCACACACCGCCCGUCA